AUACGUGAAAUAUCACGCGGCCGGGAUCAAGUCAGGUCCCCGCGACGGGAACCCCCCAUCGCAGUACCUCUACCCAUUUUGCUGCCAAGCAUAUUACUGCAACCCUAAUGUAUCGUGUCAUCCUUGCCUACAUUGGAUGU
Papilio polytes (common Mormon) is the source of this 140-nucleotide long non-coding RNA. RefSeq lists it as uncharacterized. The transcript is spliced from 2 exons. Lineage: Eukaryota; Metazoa; Arthropoda; Insecta; Lepidoptera; Papilionidae. The record is from RefSeq and is a predicted model, not a curated record.